GCAGCCGCGGUAAUACGAAGGGGGCUAGCGUUGUUCGGAAUUACUGGGCGUAAAGCGCACGUAGGCGGACAUUUAAGUCAGGGGUGAAAUCCCAGAGCUCAACCCUGGAACUGCCUUUAAUACUGCUGAUCUAGAGUUCGAGAGAGGUGAGUGGAAUUCCGAGUGUAGAGGUGAAAUUCGUAGAUAUUCGGAGGAACACCAGUGGCGAAGGCGGCUCACUGGCUCGACACUGACGCUGAGGUGCGAAAGCGUGGGGAGCAAA
This 262-nucleotide ribosomal RNA is filed under the name uncultured bacterium. RNAcentral describes it as "partial 16S ribosomal RNA". It matches the Rfam family "Bacterial small subunit ribosomal RNA", at positions 511 to 772 of the family's 1533-position model. The record is from RNAcentral.